GAUGAAGAACGCAGCAAAAUGCGAUAAGUAAUGUGAAUUGCAGAAUUCAGUGAAUCAUCGAAUCUUUGAACGCACAUUGCGCCCGCUGGUAUUCCGGCGGGCAUGCCUGUUCGAGCGUCAUUUCAACCCUCAAGCCCCCGGGUUUGGUGUUGGGGAUCGGCUCUGCCCUUCUGGGCGGUGCCGCCCCCGAAAUACAUUGGCGGUCUCGCUGCAGCCUCCAUUGCGUAGUAGCUAACACCUCGCAACUGGAACGCGGCGCGGCCAUGCCGUAAAACCCCAACUUCUGAAUGUUGACCUCGGAUCAGGUAGGAAUACCCGCUGAACUUAAGCAUAUCAAAGCGGAGGA
RNAcentral lists this unclassified non-coding RNA (346 nucleotides) under soil metagenome. RNAcentral's name for it is "partial contains 5.8S ribosomal RNA, internal transcribed spacer 2, and large subunit ribosomal RNA". The stretch from base 1 to 120 matches the Rfam family "5.8S ribosomal RNA", at positions 35 to 154 of the family's 154-position model. The record is from RNAcentral.